RNAcentral lists this ribosomal RNA (440 nucleotides) under uncultured bacterium. Its description in RNAcentral is "partial 16S ribosomal RNA". It matches the Rfam family "Bacterial small subunit ribosomal RNA", at positions 338 to 795 of the family's 1533-position model. The record is from RNAcentral.
CCUACGGGAGGCAGCAGUGGGGGAUAUUGCACAAUGGGGGGAACCCUUAUGCAGCGACGCCGCGUGGGUGAAGACGCGCCUCGGCGCGUAAAGCCCUGUCGGCAGGGAAGAAAAUGCCAGUACCUGAAGAAGAAGCCACGGCUAACAACGAGACAGAAGCCGGGGUAAUACGUAGGGGGCAAGCGUUAUUCGGAUUUACUGGGUGUACAGGGGGGGCAGGCGGCGCUGCAAGCCAGGUGUGAAAGCCUGCGGCUCAACCCCGGGACUGCACUUGAAACUGCGUGUCUGGAGUGCAGGAGGGGCAGGCGGAAUUCCUGGUGUAGCGGUGAAAUGCGUAGAUAUCAGGAGGAACUCCGGUGGCGAAGGCGGCCUUCUGGACUGCAACUGACGUUGAGGCCCGAAAGCGUGGGGAGCAAACAGGAUUAGAUACCCGUGUAGUC